Molecule: ribosomal RNA, 482 nt
Filed under: uncultured Cytophagaceae bacterium
Lineage: Bacteria; Pseudomonadati; Bacteroidota; Cytophagia; Cytophagales; Cytophagaceae
Description: bacterial SSU rRNA
Rfam family: Bacterial small subunit ribosomal RNA
Source: RNAcentral
AUCUGGCUCAGGAUGAACGCUAGCGGCAGGCCUAAUACAUAGCAAGUCGAACGGUGGUAGCAAUACCAUAGUGGCGCACGGGUGCGUAACACGUAACUAACCUACCUAUAACUGGGGAUAGCCGCCGAAAGGCGGAUUAAUAACCGCAUAAGUCUUUAGCUGGCAUCAGCUGAUUAGUAAAGAUUUAUUGGUUAUAGAUGGGGUUGCGGGUCAUUAGCUAGUUGGUUGGGUAACGGCUGACCAAGGCGACGAUGACUAGGGGAGCUGAGAGGCUGGUCCCCCACACGGGCACUGAGAUACGGGCCCGACUCCUACGGGAGGCAGCAGUAGGGAAUAUUGGGCAAUGGGCGAGAGCCUGACCCAGCCAUGCCGCGUGCAGGAAGAAGGCUUUUUGAGUCGUAAACUGCUUUUGACAGGGAAGAAUAAGCGCUACGUGUAGCGUGAUGACGGUACCUGCAGAAUAAGCACCGGCUAACUCCGUG